This 64-nucleotide transfer RNA is filed under the name marine eukaryotic metagenome. It matches the Rfam family "tRNA", at positions 6 to 65 of the family's 71-position model. From Rfam's summary of the family: Transfer RNA (tRNA) molecules are approximately 80 nucleotides in length. Their secondary structure includes four short double-helical elements and three loops (D, anti-codon, and T loops). The record is from RNAcentral.
CGUGUAGCUCAGCCGGUAGAGCAGCUGACUUUUAAUCAGCAGGUCCAGGGUUCGAACCCCUGCG